Potamilus streckersoni is the source of this 74-nucleotide non-coding RNA. NCBI's taxonomy places the organism in Eukaryota, Metazoa, Mollusca, Bivalvia, Unionida, Unionidae. The record is from the annotation of a GenBank genome assembly.
AGCUCUGGAAGCCUAGUGGUUAGAGCAUCUGCUUAGGAUGUGAGAGGACUAAGGUUCAAACCCUGGCUGAGUUA